ACGUAGGUGGCAAGCGUUGUCCGGAUUUACUGGGUGUAAAGGGCGUGUAGGCGGGACUGCAAGUCAGAUGUGAAAUCUGUGGGCUUAACCCACAAACUGCAUUUGAAACUGUGGUUCUUGAGUGUUGGAGAGGCAGGCGGAAUGCCGUGUGUAGCGGUGAAAUGCGUAGAUAUGCGGCGGAACACCAGUGGCGAAGGCAGCUUACUGGACAAUAACUGACGCUGAGGCGCGAAAGCGUGGGGAGCAAACAG
RNAcentral lists this ribosomal RNA (251 nucleotides) under uncultured prokaryote. Its description in RNAcentral is "partial 16S rRNA". It matches the Rfam family "Bacterial small subunit ribosomal RNA", at positions 525 to 775 of the family's 1533-position model. The record is from RNAcentral.